RNAcentral lists this transfer RNA (71 nucleotides) under Loxodonta africana (African savanna elephant). It matches the Rfam family "tRNA". Rfam says of the family: Transfer RNA (tRNA) molecules are approximately 80 nucleotides in length. Their secondary structure includes four short double-helical elements and three loops (D, anti-codon, and T loops). Further hydrogen bonds mediate the characteristic L-shaped molecular structure. tRNAs have two regions of fundamental functional importance: the anti-codon, which is responsible for specific mRNA codon recognition, and the 3' end, to which the tRNAs corresponding amino acid is attached (by aminoacyl-tRNA synthetases). tRNAs cope with the degeneracy of the genetic code in two manners: having more than one tRNA (with a specific anti-codon) for a particular amino acid; and 'wobble' base-pairing, i.e. permitting non-standard base-pairing at the 3rd anti-codon position. The record is from Rfam by way of RNAcentral. Lineage: Eukaryota; Metazoa; Chordata; Mammalia; Proboscidea; Elephantidae.
GUAGUGGUAGUUCAGCAGUAGAAUUCUUGCCUUCCAUGUGGGAGACCCAGGUUCAAUUCCCUGCCAAUAUA